Non-coding RNA from Podarcis lilfordi (Lilford's wall lizard), 71 nucleotides. NCBI's taxonomy places the organism in Eukaryota, Metazoa, Chordata, Lepidosauria, Squamata, Lacertidae. The record is from the annotation of a GenBank genome assembly.
GGGCUGUGAUUUAGUGGUAGGACAGCUGCUUUGCAUGUAGAAGGUCCCAGGUUCAAUCCCUGGCAACAUCU